UCAAACAGCUCCUUUUAACUCAAUUCAAAAGAAAGCAUUCAGAGUGGAUUCUGAAUUUGCACCGUGAUAAAACUAAUUGCAGUUACCUGCCCGUCACUGAAACAGAUCAUCCCGAGUGCCACAAUAUUUGAAACACUGUUCUAAGGCACAAACACACCCAAUCAGAAAGAAAAGCUUUAAAGGCCAAAGUGAUCAUCUUCUAAGCGUUCUUAAUUUCCCUUCAGGUAAAUGGAAAUGGGUGUUCUGGAGGACAGAGAGAGCAGCACACGGUCCACCUGCAAUUGUCUGCGUGAUUAAUAGAGCAUCCAUAGACCUCCCAGCCUGUGCAGUGAGUGUUCUAUGAAGGUGUAAAAGUUGCAUGCAGCAGAAAUGGGAAACUUGCAGUAACUGGCUCAGGACAGCAAAGUUGACGUGGUGCCAGGAUCACUCACAUUCCACAGCUGUCAAGGACUCUCUUGGCAAGGCCCCUCCACCAGCAUCAUCCCAGCUCCCCACCACCUGGUGCUCAUCCCCACCUGCAGCUGGAGCCAUGGGUUCCAAAUUCUGGGAGCAGGGGAAGGCAGCAGAGUGGGUGUGAAGGCUGCUCCUAGGUGCUGGCAACCUGCAUGUAGGCAGUGGGUACGCCAUGGUAAGCAACCCAGCAGGGCCAGAUGGUGUGGGAGCAGGAUUUUACGGGCUCAUAGCUCCAACCCUCAGGCUCAGUGGGUUUGUCAGAAAUGGUUAAUCAAAUUCUGAAUAACCCUCCCAGAAAAUCAACCAGCUUUUCCCCCAUGGGACUGCUGGAGCCCAUAUGAAAAAUGAAAAAGGUUUGGAAACUAGGUUUACAUUUUUACUGCUGGAAUUUGUACCAACUUGGUGUUUUCUUUCUUUGAGAACAUGAUGUGAGACCUUUGUGCUGUGAUGGCAAAGGGCACGGAGGAAGGGAGCACAAGAAGAUACUGGUUAAUUUGCUGCCUGUCUGCUCUGACUUCAAUACUGCAGUCGGACUGGACAUGGUGUUGUGAAGGACACAGCCCUG
Molecule: long non-coding RNA, 1018 nt
Filed under: Coturnix japonica (Japanese quail)
Lineage: Eukaryota; Metazoa; Chordata; Aves; Galliformes; Phasianidae
Description: lncRNA (ENSCJPG00005018036.1)
Source: RNAcentral